AUUUAUUGAGCGUAAGGAGGAGCAGCAUGAGAGGCAGCUCCGCACGGCAAGGUCAGUAAAUCAAUAAAUAUAUCCUUUAGACUGAUAUAGUUGUUUUGCAGGUUGUUUUUUGUUUUGCAGGCAUGAUUCUGUCGCUUCGGCCAGAACCCGAUUCGGAUAACGAAUCCACGCAUUCUGUUGCUUCGGCCAGAAUCAAACCAAGAAUUAUGUUGUCG
Molecule: long non-coding RNA, 215 nt
Filed under: Zostera marina
Lineage: Eukaryota; Viridiplantae; Streptophyta; Magnoliopsida; Alismatales; Zosteraceae
Description: long non-coding RNA (ZMAR_LNC002376)
Source: RNAcentral